This 871-nucleotide ribosomal RNA is filed under the name uncultured bacterium. RNAcentral's name for it is "bacterial SSU rRNA". It matches the Rfam family "Bacterial small subunit ribosomal RNA", at positions 463 to 1334 of the family's 1533-position model. The record is from RNAcentral.
GAUGAGUGGACGUUACUCGCAGAAUAAGCACCGGCUAACUCUGUGCCAGCAGCCGCGGUAAUACAGAGGGUGCGAGCGUUAAUCGGAUUUACUGGGCGUAAAGCGUGCGUAGGCGGCUUUUUAAGUCGGAUGUGAAAUCCCCGAGCUUAACUUGGGAAUUGCAUUCGAUACUGGGAAGCUAGAGUAUGGGAGAGGAUGGUAGAAUUCCAGGUGUAGCGGUGAAAUGCGUAGAGAUCUGGAGGAAUACCGAUGGCGAAGGCAGCCAUCUGGCCUAAUACUGACGCUGAGGUACGAAAGCAUGGGGAGCAAACAGGAUUAGAUACCCUGGUAGUCCAUGCCGUAAACGAUGUCUACUAGCCGUUGGGGCCUUUGAGGCUUUAGUGGCGCAGCUAACGCGAUAAGUAGACCGCCUGGGGAGUACGGUCGCAAGACUAAAACUCAAAUGAAUUGACGGGGGCCCGCACAAGCGGUGGAGCAUGUGGUUUAAUUCGAUGCAACGCGAAGAACCUUACCUGGUCUUGACAUAGUAAGAACUUUCCAGAGAUGGAUUGGUGCCUUCGGGAACUUACAUACAGGUGCUGCAUGGCUGUCGUCAGCUCGUGUCGUGAGAUGUUGGGUUAAGUCCCGCAACGAGCGCAACCCUUUUCCUUAUUUGCCAGCGCUUCGGGUGGGAACUUUAAGGAUACUGCCAGUGACAAACUGGAGGAAGGCGGGGACGACGUCAAGUCAUCAUGGCCCUUACGACCAGGGCUACACACGUGCUACAAUGGUCGGUACAAAGGGUUGCUACCUAGCGAUAGGAUGCUAAUCUCAAAAAGCCGAUCGUAGUCCGGAUUGGAGUCUGCAACUCGACUCCAUGAAGUCGGAAUCG